GGGGUUAAGGGGGGGGUAGGCGGGAUUUCAAAUUAAGAAGUGAAAAAUUACGGGGUCAACUUCGUACCCCGCUUUUGAAACAGGCAAUUCUGGAGGGAAGAAGAGGCAAAGCGGGAAUUCCUAGUGUAGCGGUGGAAAUGGGUAGAUAUUAGGAGGAAACACCAGGGGCGAAGGCGGCUUGCUGGGCUUUUACUGACGCUGAGGCUCGAAAGCGUGGGGAGCAAAACAGGAUUAGAUACCCUGGUAGUCCACGCCGUAAACGAUGAUUACUAGGUGUGGGGGGAUUGACCCCUUCCGUGCCGGAGUAAACACAAUAAGUAAUCCACCUGGGGAGUACGACCGCAAGGUUGAAACUCAAAGGAAUUGACGGGGGCCCGCACAAGCAGUGGAGUAUGUGGUUUAAUUCGACGCAACGCGAAGAACCUUACCAGGUCUUGACAUCGAGUGACAGUCUAAGAGAUUAGACCUUCCCUUCGGGGACACAAAGACAGGUGGUGCAUGGUUGUCGUCAGCUCGUGUCGUGAGAUGUUGGGUUAAGUCCCGCAACGAGCGCAACCCUUAUCAUUAGUUGCUACGCAAGAGCACUCUAAUGAGACUGCCGUUGACAAAACGGAGGAAGGUGGGGAUGACGUCAAAUCAUCAUGCCCUUUAUGACCUGGGCUACACACGUACUACAAUGGCGUUUAACAAAGAGAAGCAAAGCCGCGAGGCAGAGCAAAUCUCCAAAAAACGUCUCAGUUCGGAUUGUAGGCUGCAACUCGCCUACAUGAAGUCGGAAUUGCUAGUAAUCGUAGGUCAGCAUACUACGGUGAAUACGUUCCCGGGCCUUGCACUCACCGCCCGUCAA
RNAcentral lists this ribosomal RNA (847 nucleotides) under uncultured bacterium. RNAcentral's name for it is "bacterial SSU rRNA". It matches the Rfam family "Bacterial small subunit ribosomal RNA", at positions 556 to 1400 of the family's 1533-position model. The record is from RNAcentral.